UGCAAGAAAAUUCAUUUUUAUUUCAAAUGCUUGAUCAGACACAUUUAAUGAAAACCAACCAUUACAGGAUCAGAUAUUUUUCGAAUGUGCAGGGCACCGCCAGCUCAUCAUGAAAUUUCAUUACAUAGAUAUAGAAACAAACAAGGGUUCGGUAAAUCAACUUAACAGAAACAGGUUCAGUAGAUCAAAAGCAAAUACAACUACCAAAAUCAGUUAAUUCUUAUUGUUGGGCGUUGAUGCUAAAAAAAGUACUAAAAAAAAAUCUGAAAAUGGAAUUACUCUCUCCCACUGUCCUCAUCUGAACCACCUGCUUCUUUAACAUCAACACUGAAGCUAUAUUCCUGGUCACAGCCCAGAUAAGAAUCACACAUAAAAUACAGAGUAUAAGACUUCCUUCCAGCUUCUGAGGGGGCAGCAAACUCAAGCUUCACCUUUGACUUCCUCUGGAGAGAAACCCUCUUGAUGGCAAGCAACUGGUUGCUCUUGGUAUCACCAACAACGAGCCACCAGCCUUCUUCUUUGGCUUUAGGAUACCUGGGAGCAUCAACUGCUCCCACGUCUGUCCUCCCCUCCAGAUCCCGUUCUAGAGUGACCUGCAAAGUGAUAUCGUCUCCCACCUUCAUAUGCUCACUAUCCAUCACCUCAUAGGACAUGUCAAUGUUGGGGAAGCGGUUGCAAAACCUCACAAUAUCUAGCAGUUGUAAAUCUGACAUCUGGAGAAGCUCCCGCCUUUCAUCAUCUUCCAUCUCUACCAAAUCAAAUACUGUCUCUAUACUCUUUCCAGGAUUCUCUUGGCAUUUCUUGGCCAAUUCCUUUGUGAAGUGUGGAAGCUGUAGAAGCAUAGAAUCACGCUCCCACAUCCCCUGUGUCACCAUUUGACUAACUUCCAUUGCAAGAAUAGCAAGGCUUAACCAGCCAUUGCUUGAAAUAACAUCAACCAUUGCUUGGAGCAAUCUACUGGCAGAAAGAAGCACCUCUCGUUGGUCCAGUGCAAGGUUUCCACCCACAGAUUGCCUUGAGAAAUGGGCUUGUAGCAGUACAUUUGCCUUCACAUGUGGAUCAGUAUAUCUGGGAUUCUCAAAUGAGAACCUCUGGUGAUUGAUCAGCCGCCGAAGCACCUCUUCUUCUCCAGGUCGUAUGGGAAGAUGGGCAUACUCUGAAGCUGAAGCCAGAAUUUCCAGAAGACCCUUCAUCUUUGUUUUGGGAGUCAAAGAAGAACUAAAACGCUCAAUAGUAGUGUAACUGAUGUAAUAGUAUGAUGCUAUCAUGCCAAGAUUCAGUGGAGACAGGUCCAUGUCGUCCUCGAUAGCAACACAUUUACCUGCUUCCAAAUCACUCAAUGUUUGCUCAACAAGCUCUGAAAGGUGAUCAGAAAGAUGUCUAUGACUAACUCCCUGGAGAUUGUAGUAAUUUGGAUUCUGAGUGAGCCGCCUAUACAUAAAUGUCCAAGUAAGAUAAUCUACUGCAUCUUGCUUAUUUUCAAUAACUCCAGCAACUAUUUCUGCGUUGAAAUUGUCAUGCAGGAAAUGGUGCAAAUGGCUUUCCACAGGGAAAGCUUCAUAUAAGAAUUUCUUGUAAUACUCUUUACGAGGUGCAUGGCAGAGGAUGACACACUUUCCAGAGUUAUCUAGUAGAGGUCGACUGGCAUGACCCAUCAUCUGCAAGAGAUCUGUAACAGGGUAAUCAGUGUGAGCAUUUUCACGCCCAUCAUAAUAUUGAGUUCCCAUCACAACUACCAAAUGCGCUGACAAUGGCACUCCCCAACACAUUGAACUGCUCAUAACACAAACCUGAAUCCACCCAGCUUCAAACAGCUGUGACACAACUUCUUGAUCCAAGCUACUCAAGCCCUCAUGCAAGUAUCCAACACCAUGAAGUAAAGUAGCUCUCAACAUUUCAUCCUGAAUCUUGCCAACAAAGGGCUCCAGCUCUACCGAGGACCUCAACAAAAAAGCAGGUUUCUCUCCACUGUCCACACUUGAGUAUGUCAUCAGAUCCACAGCAGUGAGUCGCACAUGCUUUCUCGUAGAAACAAACACAAUAGCAGGCUUUCCAUUUUUGGCAUGUUGGACUAUUGCAGUGUAUGUUGGUUUCGUCAUGGCCUGUAUCCUUGCUUCAAAAUUGGCAAUAUCCACUCCCUGAAUAUGUAUUUCUAAGGGGACAGGACGCACACCAGGGGGGAAAUUAAAAAGGCCAUGGGAGGUGGCUCCUAUCCAUUCCCCAAGAUCCUUGGCAUUUGCAAGGGAAGAUGACAAAGCCACAAUUCGAAUCUUAUUCUCUAUCUGACUAGCAAUAUAUCUCAUUCUAGAAACAAUCACCUCUAAGACAGGACCUCCAUGACCCCCAAUCAAGUGGAGCUCAUCAAUGAUAAAUAGACUAACCAGCUGCACAUACUUCCUCUGUUUCCAGCGACGAGACAAAGCAUCCCAUUUUUCCGGAGUGCUGAUAAUUAUUUGACCCUUUUCAAGCAGCUUUAAGUCUGUUGCAGUUUCUCCAGUCAAUUCAACAACACGCAUUCCAAGACCUCGACCAUACUUUCUCUCCCAAUCGCGAUAGCGUUCCUUAGCAAUUGCCUCAAGAGGUGCAAUAUAAACAGCACGCAUUAUGCUAUCAGAUCCCUUUUGAUAAUUCCUCAAUAUAGCAAACUCAGCACAGAUGGUUUUCCCACUCCCUGUUGGUGCAGCAACCAAUACAUUGUCAUCUGUAUUAUACAGAACAGUAAAGACCUGAGUUUGGACAGGAUUAAAAUGUUUAAAAUCUUGAUAAAGAGCUUCAUAUGAUGGAUUCCUCAAUGCAGUCACGGGCAGAGGUUGCAAAUCCAAUAACUCUGUGGGUGGAGGAUACUUUUCUGGUAAAAUAAGGUGCCUAAAAGAGACAGGUAAAACAGUUUGUGACCCGAGCCAUUUAUCUGACACAACACGGAUGAAAUACUGUGGAGGCAAUGGCUCAUAAAUUGGCACUGUGAAGUUCAAUGUGUGGUCCUCAUCAAUGUACUGCUUCUUCAACAUAAAGUACUCAUGAUGGAGAACGCUUUCACCAUCAUUAUCCUCCACAAUGACCCAAAAUGGUUCCACAUAUCCAUGAACCUUGUCUUCCCAUUGAAAGUCUGGUGUUAUAGUAAGUUCAAACCUCAACACAGUACGAGUGAUUGGCUGAACAUGUGCUGCCAGGUUAAGCUUUGGGAAUUGGUGGAUGAACUUAUGCAAUGUUCUUCCCAUCUUUGGGAAACGAACGAGCUCACCAAUUUCCUGUGAUGAAAGGUCAUAAUACCUUUCCCAAGCCAAAUCUUUCUUCUCCAACUUCAUCAGAAUUUCAUUUGGGAUCCCAAUGAAUUGGCGCAGGGGUGUCUGGACGCUCCACAUCCUCUUGUUGACCAUUUUACACAAAUUCAGAGCCUUCUCAGCUAACUGUGCCCAUCCUCUUUUCAAGACAAUCUCAAAAAGAGCUCGUAGAAGACGGCCAGCACUCUGAGUUAUGAACACCAUGUCAGAUGUGAGGGAAAGCCCUUCAAGCUUAAGUUGUGAAAUAUAGGCUUGAAGUAACACAUUAAUCUUAGCACUAGGCUCUUCCAGACUUUCCUUGAUUGGAAUUGGAACACGGUCUAAAAGCUUUGCCAGUUCCAUCUUCUCAUCUUGUCUUACUGUUACAUAUUUAAAUUCUUCACUCAAGGAGAAAAGACGGCAUAGUUCUAUGUCCCCCAUUGUUGGCUUCAGAUGCUCAUUAUACGUGGAUAUUGUCCCAUGAGUUAUAUAGUAAUAACUAGCAAUGCGACCCAAGUCAGUGACCUGGAAAUAUCCACUUUUCCUGUCAUACUUGACCAGAUUAUUUUUGUCCAAGAUAGUUGCAGCAGAAUGAAUCAAAUCAGCCCUCCUCUCCUCCAAUGUAAUAUCUCUGGUGAGAACAUCUGGUGCUAAGCCAUACAGCGUUGGAUUUCGUAGCAUACGGACAUACAAGUAAGUAUAGCCAAGCCAAUUGCAGGCUUCUCUAGCAUUUUGCACAGUUCCAAGAACAAUUUCUGCAUUCAAUUGAUCAGCCAGUUUGGAUACAAACUGACUUUCAAUAGGAAGCUGUUGAUUCAUUAAAGAUAAAUAGUACUGAAGUUCACUGUGGCCAGUGAUGAUAAUUCCUUCCCCAUAUGAAUCAUACUGAGGCCUUCCCGCACGACCCAACAUCUGCAUAACAUCCAAAGGACUUAGCUCAGUCCAUGCUCCUUUUUCUGGAUUGUAAAUCUGAGUCCCUUUGAUAAUAACAGUAUGAGCAGGCAGGUUAACACCCCAAGCAAGAGUUGCAGUGGAAACCAACACUUGUACAUGCCCAUCUGCAAAAAGAUCCUCAACAAGUUGACGGUCAACCCUCGUCAUUCCAGCAUGAUGAACUGCAAAACCAUAGGGCAAAAGAUCUUUCAGAUCAUUGCUUUUGACCAUAUCUGUAUGACUUUGGAGAAUCUCACGGCUUGCACUAUCUUCCCUCAAGAAUCUACCAAGAGUAUCAUUAGCGAGUGCAGUAUCCCGUAUUGCACGAGCUGUCUUCGCUGUUUCCUUUCUCGAGUGAACAAAAAUAAGAACCUGAUGCUUUCCUGCUACAGUCAUUACCUUUUCAUAACAGAUAUCAUUCAUCAACUGAAACCUCUGCAGUGGCUUCUUUACCGUGAUUCCAAUGUACUGUUGAGAAAGAGGGACAGGUCUAUAGCUAUUAUCAAAAUGGAAGAGUCCCUUUUCAACAUCAACCCUCAAAAACAGUGCCACGUCUUCAAAAUUAGGCAGUGUAGCAGACAAUCCCACCAGCCGGAUAUGUUCUUUCGUAGUUUCAAUUUGUCUAACAGUUCUGGCAACAAUACUCUCAAGCACAGGUCCUCUAUUAUCAUGGAGGAGAUGAAUUUCAUCCAUAAUAAGAAGUUUCACAAGUUGUGUAUAAGUGCGAUCACCAGACUUACGAGUAAUAAUAUCCCACUUUUCUGGAGUAGUCACAAUUAUUUGAGUUUCUUCAAUUUGUUGACGAGUCAAUGUCUGGUCUCCACUUAGUUCCCUAACCUUGACACCAUACUCCUGCAGUCGAUUUGACAAAUUACCAACAACUUCAGCCACAAGAGCUUUCAUUGGUGCAACAUAGACUAUCUUAUAGUUGCCAUGGUUGAAUGAACCAUCUGGAUUCCUAUUCAAUGCAAUUUGCUGAAGUAUGGUGAGUACUGCAACAUUAGUCUUCCCUGCCCCAGUAGGAGCACAAAGAAGGACAUUAUCCGCCUUGAAAAGAGCAGUCUCAUACACUUUACUUUGUACCCUGUUCAACUGUUGCAUCCCCUUGAAAGCCGGUUGUGCCCAGUCUGGCAUGUCAGAUAUCUUCACAAGCCUCUCAUCAGGUGCUAUUGGUCUAGGCUUCAGGGCUGGCACAUGAACUUCUUCAUAGCCCUUGCUUUGAUGUCUAUAGGAACCAACUGGAAGAUCACACUUCUUAUUUGCCAUCAAAAGGCCACCCUGCUCAAAGGCAAUGCUAUCUAGAUCAAGCAACUGGGGCUGACCUUUCACCCAACCACUGUCCAUAUCUCUAUCAAUAAGCCCCCUCCUAUCCCUAUCACCAUCCCCACCACUCUCAUCCUUGAGCCGGCGAGCCUCUUCCCUUAUACUCUUCUCUAGGUUUUUUUUGUCUCUCUUUCGCUGUCGCCCUUGUAGCGUGCAACUGCUCCAAAAUUGCUACCAAAUCUGGACCUGAACUCAUCAUUUCCUCCUCGAUCAGUUUUCUCUCUUGUUGGUCUUUAGCCCUUGCCAAACGGGUACACCAUACAAUCUUUAGCCUGUUACGCAAAAGGAACUUAAUAAGGCUGAACUUUUCAAACUGGAGAUGCACCAGCAACUUGGUUUCAACUUCCCUGUCAUCUCCCUCGGCAAGUAUUUUAAGCACCUCCUCUGCCAAUUUUUGGCACUGUUGCGGGUCAAUCUGUUGUUCAUAAGCUUGUGAGAUCUUCCUUUGCAGCCAAUAAGCAUCAAUAUCCUGCACAUUAAGGCCCAUGCCUUCAUUUGCCUCCUGCAUGUCUUCAUCAUCAAUUCCACCACCCAUUUGCAUAGCCCCUGAACCAUUCGGCUCUGCCACAUCAUCAUCAUCUUCUUCCUCAUCCGGAACUGCAUCAAGAUCACUCUCUUCAUCAUCAUCUUCAUUGUCUUCAUCAAACUCAACAGCCACACCCACAUCAUCAUCAAGAGCAUCAUCACCAUUAGCCACAGCAGGCCCUGCAGCAUCACCCCCAUCUUGGAAAUCAGUGAUGAGCCUGCCAAUGGAAACAAGCUGAUCAAACACAUGAUUGGGAAUAGGAUUCAACAACUUCUCAAUCUCCUUCUUCUUGUCAGGGGUCUUCACGGAUUCAUUCUUGAGGACAGCCAAAAUCUCAUCAGCAGCAGCGCUAACAAUAUUGAGAGGCUGACCACCCAACUGCUGUUGAAUGACGCUGAGCAUGGCCUCAUAGGCAGCUCUAGUCUCCUUGGUUUUGGGCUGGUAAACACCUUCCUCAGUAGAAGUGAGCACACUCUCUUCUCGGAGGCGGCGCUUCUUAGCUUGGCGACUGGGAGCAGGCUCUGAGAGUGGGUCACGCUCCUUCUUCUUCUUCGAUUUCUUAAUCUUCUCGUCUAGCUCAGGAGGCCUGCCUCUAUAAGCACGGUCACCGAAGCUUUUAGGAUCAAUCUUGCCCCAAAGGGACUCAGGCUCACCGGUGGGCUCAUGGGUGUCACGCGGGCGAGAGUCAGUGGUAAGUACCAAACUGGAGUUGGCUCGAUACUCAUAUUGCUUAAAUCGGGCGUGUGCUUCCGCACCACCACCAAGAUGCGCCAUUAACGGCUCUCAAAAACAGUAGCCGACUGACCUCCUUAGUGAGAAGAGAACACAGAAUCUCCACUCUUAUUUCCACCGUUUCCGAUUGCACUGGUUCAGUUGAAAUGCCAGUUACAGCCUGAGGGUUUGCUUAUUUGUGGUUUAAAGCAUCUACUACCACCACCAUCGCCUG
RNAcentral lists this unclassified non-coding RNA (6988 nucleotides) under Hevea brasiliensis (rubber tree). The record is from RNAcentral. Lineage: Eukaryota; Viridiplantae; Streptophyta; Magnoliopsida; Malpighiales; Euphorbiaceae.